UAGGCUGCAACUCGCCUACAUGAAGUCGGAAUUGCUAGUAAUCGCGGAUCAGAAUGCCGCGGUGAAUACGUUCCCGGGUCUUGUACACACCGCCCGUCACACCAUGGGAGUCGGAAAUGCCCGAAGUCUGUGACCCAACCUUAGGGGAGGGAGCCAGCCGAAGGCAGGUCGGAUGACUGGGGUGAAGUCGUAACAAGGUAAC
RNAcentral lists this ribosomal RNA (202 nucleotides) under uncultured bacterium. RNAcentral's name for it is "partial 16S ribosomal RNA". It matches the Rfam family "Bacterial small subunit ribosomal RNA", at positions 1301 to 1500 of the family's 1533-position model. The record is from RNAcentral.